CACGAAUAUAUAAGAUAGACCCAAUAAAUUAUGUUACUGCGCCUUCUGUUUCAUGGGAUGCAAUGCUUAAAUAUACAAAGAUAGAAUUGGAGCUAGUUAGUGAUCCGGAUAUAUAUAACUUUUUGAAAACUUCAGUAUGCGGAGGCUUAACUCAAUGCACUCAACGGAUAGCUACUGCAAAUAAUAAAUAUUUAAAUGAAAGAUUCAGGGCCAGUGAUCCUAUAAACUAUCGAUUUUUUGAUCGAUUUUCGAGAAAAACUUUAAGCAAUCAACGCCUCAAGUCUUUCAUACAUUAAAAAUAUUUUAUUACAAGUUUUUUUUAUAAGUAUUAUGUGUAAACAUAUUAUUAUGUAUUAUAGAUUAUUGAUAUACAAAAAAUUUCAAGAUCACAAAUCAGAUUUUUAUUCUUUUAAGAUGAAAUGUGAGCAAAGUGGCUUUUCGUAUCCGACGGAAACUGUACCUGCUUGUACUGCAAAAUGGCAAACAAAGAACAACGCAUAAUGGCAAAAUAUAGAGAGAGGAAUGUGGAAACCCAUGUCUAGUGUUUUACUUUACCUCUCCCCAAAAUAAAAUGAUAUUAAACUGAAGGCAACAGACCUGCCCAAUGGCAAGUAGGUGAUAAAAAUGGUCACUUCAUCGAUGGAAGGACGGAGGUAAACAUUGUGAUUAAAAAUAGCUCUCUAGAGUAGUUAAAACUGCUCGCUCGAAUUGAACAAAGAAGUAUUCACUUGAUGAAAAUAUGGCCACUUGGGGUGUACGCAUCUAUGGGGUAGUAGGAGUACGCGCAGGUAGUGGGACUUACAGAGAGGAGCAUAAAUAUUUGUUCAAAGAAUUAAACGGGAGGAAAGUGUAGGGUAGUGUAGCGCUGACAGUAGGACGAUCGCAACAGUUGGUUCCACAGCCACCACCAACACCACCAAUACACGCACAAUAGCAGCAGCUGCCGGACGUUGUAUAAGAGUGUAUGCCCAUGUGAGCUGCCUCCUGCCAAAACGCUGCCGACUGUUGUAUACGUGUGAGUUGGUGUGCGUAUUUUACUCCGUUUAAUCCUCCAUUUUGGAGGAGGAUAAACUAUCUAGCGUACAUUGAUGCUAACAAUUUAUAUGGUUGGGCAAUGAGCCAGCCACUUCCAUAUUCCAAUUUCAAAUUUCUAAGUAACGAUGAAAUUCAAUCUUUCAACGCUCUAAGUAUAUCUGUUUGCGAGGAUGUAGGAUACAUCUUAGAAGUAAAUCUGAAAUAUCCUGAUGCUAUACACAAUAAAUAUAAUAGUUUACCAUUCUGCGCCGAAAAUAAGAUUCCUCCAGGCGGAAAACAAUCAAAAUUGAAAGCGGACUUAUCUAAUAAAAAUAAUUAAUACAUUU
This 1361-nucleotide long non-coding RNA is filed under the name Drosophila guanche. Lineage: Eukaryota; Metazoa; Arthropoda; Insecta; Diptera; Drosophilidae. The record is from RNAcentral.